UAUAUACAAUAAUUUCGUACAGUGUAAAAUAUUUAAUGUCCCCAUCGUCUAUGUACACAUUUCUAGAGGAACCUAUUCUAUUUAUGUUUAUGUACAUACAUUAGCCAAAUAUAUUAUGCAUUUUUAAAAUGCAAAUAGUGUGAUAUAAAAUAUAAACACAGAAUGAAGAAUGCUUUAAACCCAGCUCAAGUGUGUCCGAUAUACAGCUUCAUAUUUACAAAGAGUUACUAAGUCAUGACUUUUACAUAUUGAUAUAUUGACCUAAGGAUAGACUGUACAUUGUGUUGAUUUGUAUGAUCCGCAAUAUUGAAUUGUAAUUUCCGAUGAUUUUUUGACAAGAAAUUGAACUCAAUAAAAACCACCAGUCUAUGGUACAAAGUAAACAUAAAU
Non-coding RNA from Biomphalaria pfeifferi, 390 nucleotides. NCBI's taxonomy places the organism in Eukaryota, Metazoa, Mollusca, Gastropoda, Planorbidae. The record is from the annotation of a GenBank genome assembly.